UCAAUCUUGGAAAGUCCAACAAUAGUAAAACCCAAUGAUUUAACUUAAAAAAAAAAAAAAAAAGGAAACCCUAGAUUCCACGAUUCUUUCAUCUUCUUCUUCAACUCUCACGUCUCUGCCUUUCACAAAUCUCUAAUCUUCAUUCUUCACAGUAUCAUCUUUCUCUUCGUUCAUGUCGCCACGAUCUAUAUGGAAGGGCGGUUUUGUUGAUGCAUUCCUGAUGAAAAUGAAGAAGAAUGUAGAACCUCUUAUGAACAGGAAAAUUUGGUCACGUGGAUCUAUGAUUCUGCCGGAAUUCGUUGGUAGCACCGUACGAGUUUACAAUGGGAAAAAUUUUGUUCGUUGUAAGAUCACUGAAGGAAGAGUUGGUCAUAAGUUUGGAGAGUUUGCUAUGACACGGAAACGAAGAAUUGCGAGAUCAAAUAGUGCACCGGCAAAAAGAGGGGGGAAAAAGUGAAGUUCAAGCGCAUAUGCCAUUUGGUAUUCACUUUUUCUUUCUUAUUCUCAAUUCAAGAGAUAGGGUACUUGGCUUGAAAUUUGUUCUCAGAACACCGAUUUCUUUCUCGGAGGCAAUGUCCGCCUCUUUCUUGCUCAUCUUGGCAUAGCUCUGCUCGCAUUAGUAUCAACGAAUUUUGUGUAUGAGCUAUGGUGGGUCGAUGCCAUUGUAGGCCAUCAGUUGCCGAGGUGUAAGCUCCAUUGGCUCCAGGGGGAACUGAGAAGAACGGUAGCUUCAGUUGAAAUGGUGAAUUCAACCAUUUUUCAUAUUCAUUCUCAUUCGAAUGGGGAGAAAAGGCAAAGAAUUUUGAAUAUGUCCCAUUUGGAAUAAUUUGACUUGAUAACCCUUGCACUAAUGAAAAAUACUUAUUGAUCCA
Cucumis melo (muskmelon) is the source of this 872-nucleotide long non-coding RNA. RefSeq lists it as uncharacterized. The record is from RefSeq and is a predicted model, not a curated record. Lineage: Eukaryota; Viridiplantae; Streptophyta; Magnoliopsida; Cucurbitales; Cucurbitaceae. The transcript has 2 exons.